AGAGGGUAAGUAAAGUUUCCAAGGUCACACAGCUCUUAAGUGUCAGAGCUACCCCUGGAACCAGGCCUGUCUGAUUUUAGAGCCCAGGCUCUAACCACUGGGUCACCUGAGCAGAAUGAACGCCCUCUCCACAGCUGAGCUCCAGACCAUUUCUAAGGUCAAGAGGCUCUGGGAUUUACGAAGGUCACUCCACAAGUGCACAGUUCAGCUGACAUGUAGUAUAUGCCCAGCAUGUCAGCUAUUAUUAUUAUUGUUAUUAUUAGCCAUGAGCAGGAAGCCGUUUGGGGGCCUCCUUCCCAACCCUGGAAAGGGGCCCAGUCUGUCUUUUCUAACUGACACCAGGAGCUUCCCGACCCUCUGCCAGCCUGCUGAGAGAAUCCUUCUGGAGCUGCGCGGAAGGAUGGAAGAUGAGGAAUUAAGGAGCCCUCCUCAUUGGUGCUGCCUGAACAGUGGAAUGGACUGCACUGGGUGAAACCCCGUGACAUCCACAGUAGAGAGAGGGCACAGCUCGCCAGCCCUGAAAGACCUUGCCACUGGCAGAUUGCACAGCCCAGGGUAAAUUGGAGACACAAGACUCGGCUCAGGGCCCUGCUUGAAUCCACCUGUUAGCUCCAGAAUUUGGGGCUGGAUGCUUAAAUCAGAUGAACAUGUUUCAUUCUCACAUGACACAAUAUUUCUUAUCAAAUCCACAGGGUGACGUUAAAAAAGGAAA
Long non-coding RNA from Balaenoptera ricei (Rice's whale), 712 nucleotides. RefSeq lists it as uncharacterized. The record is from RefSeq and is a predicted model, not a curated record. Lineage: Eukaryota; Metazoa; Chordata; Mammalia; Artiodactyla; Balaenopteridae. The transcript is spliced from 3 exons.